Molecule: ribosomal RNA, 713 nt
Filed under: Bacillus sp. MAN9
Lineage: Bacteria; Bacillati; Bacillota; Bacilli; Caryophanales; Bacillaceae
Description: bacterial SSU rRNA
Rfam family: Bacterial small subunit ribosomal RNA
Source: RNAcentral
GAGUCUGACGGAGCACGCCGCGUGAGUGAUGAAGGUUUUCGGAUCGUAAAGCUCUGUUGUUAGGGAAGAACAAGUGCGAGAGUAACUGCUCGCACCUUGACGGUACCUAACCAGAAAGCCACGGCUAACUACGUGCCAGCAGCCGCGGUAAUACGUAGGUGGCAAGCGUUGUCCGGAAUUAUUGGGCGUAAAGGGCUCGCAGGCGGUUUCUUAAGUCUGAUGUGAAAGCCCCCGGCUCAACCGGGGAGGGUCAUUGGAAACUGGGAAACUUGAGUGCAGAAGAGGAGAGUGGAAUUCCACGUGUAGCGGUGAAAUGCGUAGAGAUGUGGAGGAACACCAGUGGCGAAGGCGACUCUCUGGUCUGUAACUGACGCUGAGGAGCGAAAGCGUGGGGAGCGAACAGGAUUAGAUACCCUGGUAGUCCACGCCGUAAACGAUGAGUGCUAAGUGUUAGGGGGUUUCCGCCCCUUAGUGCUGCAGCUAACGCAUUAAGCACUCCGCCUGGGGAGUACGGUCGCAAGACUGAAACUCAAAGGAAUUGACGGGGGCCCGCACAAGCGGUGGAGCAUGUGGUUUAAUUCGAAGCAACGCGAAGAACCUUACCAGGUCUUGACAUCCUCUGACAACCCUAGAGAUAGGGCUUUCCCUUCGGGACAGAGUGACAGGUGGUGCAUGGUUGUCGUCAGCUCGUGUCGUGAGAUGUUGGGUUAAGU